UGUGCAGAGCUAAAGGCUCUGGGGAGGAAAGAGUGAAGGGGGAUGCGGAAGACCAAGAAAGUUUACUUCUAAACAAGUUAUGAAAGUAACGAAAUUACACUUCACAUCAUUUUCUCGCUGUGUUCUCAAACAUCAUUUCCAGUUAGAAAAUUUGUAGUAUCUUUUGACAUCACAGAUUUAUGCAGUUAAAUUGUGACAAAUUAAAGAAAUCUCUAUUACUUUGCCUGCAGUUCAAGUCACUGUAUCUUGAUUAGAAUAGUGAGUUGGUGUGACAGGUUCACUGUUGUGAAAAGCGCUUGAUUGCAUCACUGACAUUACAAAAUGGCUGUAGGCAGUAAGGACACGUCAUGAACGUAUUUGGGCUGCAUUUGGUAGAAAAGAUCUGUCAUGAAGGGGAACUGAAAUUAUCCUGUGUUUGCAGGAAGAAUAUGGAGGAGUGUAACACCUGCAUCAUGAUACCACUCUGGAGAGUGAAAAUAGCAUUUGUUCAACUGGUGUGCAGGAAGUGUGAUUUGGCAUAUCCAAGCGGCUUUUAGAUGAUUGCAGCUUUCCAAGGACUGACUUUAUGGAACGUUACUUCAGUGCUGACAGUGUUAAACCUCUGUGGCUCUAUAUUCUGAUUCAUUAGGAAUCAUCCUCUUUCAUUUUCCAUUUUAGUUCAUAAUCCACAAACUAGGAGUAUCGGUAAACCCUGUUUAGCUUUUCAAACAUCUGGAAGGUGUUAGCAUGAUUUGGCUUACGGUGCUUCUGAGUCUGCAGGAAGUACUAGGCAGAACUCUGGCUUUUUGGCCUACUGAAGAGCAGGUUGUGUCUUCAGACUUGACUUUCUCUUGAUUUUGGACAGGCGGAGUGUAGCAAUGCCUGCAAAGUUUAAUUGACAGACAGCUCAAGUGGAAAUACCUGUGGUUCAGUGCUCUCAGAAGUCAAAUAUAGGGAAAAAAUUGUUUUCUAACUGGGUGGCAUUCAAAAGAACUUUCUGAUCUCACUAAUGCUGCUUACAGUUCACGUCACUACACUUUUAGUGGUAAACUCCAGGAGGCAACACCUCUGAUUCCUUCAUCCAGUGGCUGAAUGGACAAUCAUCCUUACACAUGGUCCUGAAGAAAACCUGUGGUAGUCUGUAAGAACACACUGUUCCCACCCCUAAGUGGCACAAAGGCUGCAAAGGGGCUUCUCAUUGCAGAGGCUGGGAUAAGAACAAGGUACUCAAAGCUGUGUUAGGGUUCUGGUGGUCCUCAGAAUCUGAACUGGGUUUCAGGAAGGAGAUGUUUUGCUGCUCAGCUUCUUGUGAUCAAAGGAUGGGGCUUUAUGUGUCUCACUGUUUCUCCUUGUUGAAUCUGGAGUGUUCUAAGCAAAACUUGCUAAAUAAAGAAGAUUGAAUACAACUCACAAUUCAGAGAAAAUGAGAUAAGAGAUUACUGAACACCAGACAAACAUGGAAGUAUUGAAUAAUUAUGUAAAUUGUUGCAGGAAAUGUUGUAUGAAAUGUAAUUGCAGGUUUCAUGCACGUUUUAAAGCUCUGAGCAGGUUUUGUUUUCAAAUAGAAAUGAUUAAAGAUAAUUUUUCAAUACUUUCACAUGAUUAAUGUAACAGGCUGAUUUUUCUUUGAGUACGUCAUAAAUACCAUCCACAUUGGUGUGCUAAUAUAUGGAGAGUUUUAUUGCUGCAGCGCUUUAUGAAAUUAUUCUUUGGGAAAUUAUAGAUAGUCAAUGAAUAAUUCAAGGGAAAGAAUAACCCAAAAUCUAAUAAAUUCUGUGUAUGAUUGAA
This is a long non-coding RNA of Pezoporus occidentalis (night parrot), 1767 nucleotides long. RefSeq lists it as uncharacterized. NCBI's taxonomy places the organism in Eukaryota, Metazoa, Chordata, Aves, Psittaciformes, Psittacidae. The record is from RefSeq and is a predicted model, not a curated record. The transcript is spliced from 4 exons.